This is a non-coding RNA of Camellia sinensis, 4784 nucleotides long. The record is from RefSeq and is a predicted model, not a curated record. Lineage: Eukaryota; Viridiplantae; Streptophyta; Magnoliopsida; Ericales; Theaceae.
GUGUUGAAUCAGGAAGUGGGUUUGUGUAUAUGUGGUGCCAAUUUCAAGUGAAGAAGUGGGCUUACUCUUUUUCUUCUUCAGAAACUGUUUUGUUGAAUACGAUUUGGAGAGGGAGAGAAGAACCGAGAGAGAGAGAAGUCCAACCAUUAUGCCGGAAAAAGCUUUGGAGAAAUGGGUUUAAGAGAUCUAAAUGAAGAUAAGAGAGGGAACUCAGGGAAUUAAAAAGAAAUUCAGCCAUUGAAGGUUAAAGGUCACGCGCUAUUGUCUGCUUGAUCUGCUUCUGCUACUAUCUGUGAUCAGGGCGUGACCAAGCUUCAAGGCGCCUGGAAUCAGUUUUUGACAGCCAACCUAUGUGCCUCCCGUGGAGGUUCCGGACAUGUUUACUGGCUAUGGCUAAGUGCAUAAGUUGAAGUUUUGUUUUCCAGUUCAGCUAGACAAGUCUUUGUGUAUCUUGUAUAUAUAUGAUGAUGUGUAUAUGUAUGUAUAUAAAGUUUAAAAUUUUUCUUUCUCAUAUAAGUCUGCACAACUCAAUGGAUGUUGUAUAAUUGUUAUUUGCUUCCGCAGCCCUUAAUUAUACGUUAUAUUUUAAGAGGCCUUUGGUAAUCCAAGGAUUACUGGCUGGUUACGACGCUAAACCUAUAGGGGUGAGUUUGGGACAUGACAACUAUUUUUCAAUUUCAUCACUGUGCUGAAGUUUGGUUUGCACUCCAUAAGAAAUUCAUUUCCCUUUCACGAUCACAUAUUCAUCAGCUCAAGAAUAAAUUGAACUCUAUUGUUAAGAAAUCUAAUUCCAUGGAAGAAUAUCUCUCAAAGAUUAAAGAGAUAGUUAAUCAGUUGGCUCUUGCAUUAGUGGUUAUUGAUGAUGAGGAUCUUGUUUUGUUAACUUUGAAUGGUCUUCUAGAUGAGUUUGAUGCCUUUAAAACUACUAUCCGAGCUAGAUCUGGUGCUAUCUCAAUGGAAGAAUUGUCUUCUUUCUUUUGUUCUGAAGUAGUUCAUAUGGAUGCAAAGACUAAGAAAUUGUUAGAACCAACAGUUGCUUUCUCCCUAGCCAAAGUUUUUCUCCUCAAUCUUCUACACAUUUUCAACCUAGAGGACAUGCUUUUGGUCAAUCUAGAGGUCGAAACUCUUUUCGAGGUGGUAGAGAAAGCAGAUUUUAUAAAGGAAAUGGUUGAUUCUCUAGCAAUUCUACUAGAGGCCGAGGAAGAUAUUCCCCCUCUCAUUUUCAAUCUUCUCCAGUUUGUUAGAUUUGUGGUAGAGUUGGUCACUUAGCUCUUGAUUGCUGGCAUCGAAUGGACUCUCAUUAUCAGUUUUCUCAUGUUAUGCCUAAUUCUACACCGAGAGCUUUUGUUGCCUUCUCUUCUGAUGCCUCUUCAUUUGUUUUCACAGGUCUAUGGAAUUUGGAUUCUGCUGCUACUAAUCACACACUACAACAAAACUGAGUUUUUACGGCUUUACAUUAACGACAUACAGUAAAUGCAAGCCGUGGUUUCUCACUUUUAUGACUUGCUUUUUUUGCAUGUCGUAAAUAAUUUUCUAAUCACGGCGUGUCUAUUGCGUAGGCCGUAAAUGUUAAUAAUGAUGAUUUUUUUACGGCUUGCAAUGUUAGCCGUAAAUAAUAAAACUUUUUACGACAUGCAUGUGGCAUGCCGUUAAUACAUCAACUAUACACGACAGGUGUACACUAGCCGCUAAAAAUAUUGAACAUUUCACGAUGCAAAUGUUGGUUAAAUGUUGGUUUUGAUGUUGAAAUACUGGGUGAGUAAAAUGGCAUCUUGAUAUCUGAGAUUUUUUAUUUAUUUUUAUUUAUUUUUUUUUUUUUGUCAUGCAUAGUUUUGGUGUUCUAAAGAUAAUAGAUGUCUUGAAGCUAAACAAAUAAAAUAGAAGUCUUCUAGGAAUCCACAUUUUGGUACUUGUGUUUUGGAAUGGAAAACUUUCCCUUAAGAACACUAAUUUUUUAUUUUUUGUUUUGAACAGCCAAGAACACUAAAUUCGGAAACCUGAAUUUUUUUCUUAUUAGGUUUCUUUUAUAAGACAAAACAUCAAAUAAUGUUAGGCAUGUAACUAAGCUUUCCCUUCCCAAGCACAUUAAUGUGAAUAGGUUGUUUUGUUUGUUCCCUCUUUGUUUGUUUUAGUUUGUUCCAUCACCAUGUAUUAGGUAAGUCUCUUUAAUUUCUUUCAAAUUUAUGUGGGAAAAAAUUCAAAACAACCACCACAUUGAGAAUUGCUAUAUGUAUGUUCUGUCUUUGCAGGUGGGAUUACACUAUAUGGCUGCUAUAUACCUAAGACAUUGUGUGUGGAGUGUUAGAAGGUUUUGUGGGUUGAGUGUGGUGAGCCCUACAUAUUCUAGUUUGAUAGAGUGUUAGCUUCCAAAAAAAAAAAAGAAGGUUUUUUGCUUCUUAAUCUCUUCCAUAUCUGAUCUUUACAGGUUGCCAAGCUGGCCUUAUGGUAGGGAUAGAGGGUUGAGUGACUGUGAGUCCAAAAUUAGGUAGUGGAGGUAUGUGAGACUAAGGGUUGAGUGAAGUAAGUUCCUAUAAUUCUAACUCUUCUAUGCAGGUUUGUCUGGGCUGUAACUUUCUUAUGGAAAGGUUUUGGGCCUUGUAUCUGUUUGGAGAAGUUGUUUGAUUGUUCUUGGUAUACACAUUGUAUAAGGAAUUUUUGUUGUGGGUUGAGUGAUGGGAGUGCUAUAUUUUCAAAGUGUGUUGUUUUUUGGCUUACUGUUAUCCUUUCAUGUUGUUUCUCUCGUUAACCUGUUCCUUCAUUCUGAGAUGGGAGUGUCUGAGGGUUGAGCUUGUAAGACCAUAUAUUGUGUGAGCCUUGUUGAUAGGUCUGUUAUCACAUUUGCUGUGAUUUAUUACAAGCUAACUGUUUUCUCUGCAGGUCUUGGAGCUGGUACCGUGUGUGAGAGAGAUGUUUUUUGUGGGUUGAGUGAAUGAGAGAUCUACACUUUUGAAGUGGUUUUCUUUUAUUCAUUUUCUUAUCCCUUUCUCUGCUCAGUGUGUUGAGCUUUGCGUGUCUUUGUAUCUUUGUGGGGUUUAAGUAAGUGAGGUUCACAUAGCGGUUUCUACUACAGGUCUAAGCUCAGCUUCUUGUAGGUGGGUUUUUUCCAUUCUACUGCUGCUCAAAGAUAGUGCUGGAGUGCUCAUUAUAGAUCUGAUGGGGGCUGUGCUAUGUUAUUUAAAUUUUGGAGAAUUUUUUAGAGGCCCAGGCUGCAAGAAUGCGCCAAUCUUUGAAGUAGUUCUCAGAUAAUUUUAUUGGUGUCCUUUUUAAUGCUGAUAUUGUACAUAGUUGGCCUUUUAGUUAUCUAUUUGAAGGAUGUAUUCAGUACAAGACUGCUAUUCCUUAUGGGCUGAAUUUGGGAUAUAUUGUAUUAUCUUUUGCUGUGUACUGUUGCUUUGAGUUUGCUGCUAGGCUACUGCUCUUUUACUCUACUGAACAAAUGCUGCAUUGCUUUACUUUGUUGCUGAUCCGCUAUGCUGCCCCUUGUACUGUUGUGCUGCUAUAGACAUUGCGGCUGUACUCUGUGCUACUGAGUAGUAGUUGUUGGUUGGGAGUUUAUGCUAUCCAUUACGCUGCACUCAUCUCUUGCUUUUCCACUAUGCCGAUCACCAUCGCCGUCCAAAAAAAGGCACAGAAAGAGGCAGAAACUAGGAGUGGUUGGGUUGAGCAUGCGGACUUACAAUUUUAUUUUUUUGGCUCUGGUUUUCUGUUUCUUAUAAUUCUAGUGACAUCUUCAUUAAUUACUGAUUAUAUCAUUUUCUGACUAGGGAAGUAGGUUCUUUACUCAAUUGUCUUUUAGAAAUCCUUAAAUUCAUGGUUUAUGGGGCCAAUAGAAGUGUUACAUUGCUGUCUAUAUAUAUAUAUAUAAUUUUUUUGGGGAGUAGAAUCUUAACCCUGCUUGCUUUCUUAUGUUAUGUGCAUCCAGAAUUCAUUAUUGCAGAUGCUAAGCACAGUACUUAUGCCCUCACAAUCAUCUCAAUCAGAAGAUAUUUAUCUUUCUGUGCUAUCUGGUGCUACCUAUGGAAGUGCUAUGGUGAGUGACCCCACAGUGUGUUCUCCUAUGAAAUUGGAAUGGUAUACCAACUUCUUUGUUUAUAUCCUUGUUUUUAAAUUAUCUAUUACUAUUUUUUUGUUUCUGCAGCUUUAUCAUGUUGGUAUGUCAGUUCAAAUCUCUAGUAGCAAUUUACCUAUGCCACGAUUGAUUAUCGGAGCUCUUCUCACAGGCCUUUUUACAAACAAAUGGAUGUAGUCAUCUGUCAUGUACCCCUUUUUAACACAAGACCAAUCAUGAAUGAAUGAACUAAGGGCCGCCAUCGAGAAGAGUAGUGCUAUUUUUGACAAAGAGAAAGCACAAGAGUGAUUGUCAAAGCUAUCUGGCGGUGUUGCUGUUUUCAAGGUUAGAAAGGCUAGCAAGGCAGAAAUUAGAGAAAGGAAAGAUUGGGUUACAAAUGCUUUAAAUGCAACAAGAGCAGCUAUGGAAAAGGGAAUUGUUCCAGACAAGAAAUGCAACAGGGUUAGUUGCUUUAGCUAUUGUCGCGGGUUUAGGUGCCUUAACACAUACAUUGGGCACCCUUGUCCCUGUGAUAGAAGGAAAUGGAUUUGCUAUAGCUGCAGCUGCAACUGCUAUAGGAACUGUUGUCGGUAGUUUUAGAUAAUGUCUUAAUAGUUGUCGAUUAGAAAAUUAGAUAUGCAUAGUUUUGGAUGGUUUAAACUUUUUGUACAGUUUAGAACUUAAGGAUAUAGUUUUCGAAUGUUUGGAAUGUAUAGACAAUUGUUGAAUGUUUAUA